RNAcentral lists this long non-coding RNA (1168 nucleotides) under Triticum aestivum (bread wheat). RNAcentral describes it as "long non-coding RNA (TAES_LNC003588)". The record is from RNAcentral. Lineage: Eukaryota; Viridiplantae; Streptophyta; Magnoliopsida; Poales; Poaceae.
UGAAUAAGGUCCUAGAGGGGAGAAAAGAAGCUUACAUAUGAUACUACACGACACCAAAUGCAUACAGUAACAAGUUGGGUCAACAAAGCCUUACCAGGAGUUCAUUGCCGGCUCUGGCAUAUGGCAGCGGCAAUGAAGGAGCACCUAUGUCAAGAGAAAUCACACAUGUCCUGAACCCUGGGCAUCAUUUUAACUUACAAACUGCAUCACCAAAUAAUACUACCAGGUUAGUGACAACCUUAAAAUGGAAUCAGGCAGUCUCACGUUUUGAGCCACUUGUAAGAUCAAUUCCAGUUUUCUUUAACUCGGAUGUGAAAGCAAAAAACUUGCCAGAAUUAGCAAGGAUUCCUCUGCCUAACUAGAUUCAGCACGAUACAAGCAGGGCACCUUAUGUUCUGCACCUAGCACGGCAAGCUUUGCAAUAAAAUAAACUAGCACAUCAAGGUUGUCACAUGAAAACUGACAUAACAGUCAGGUUCAGAGCAAACAAAAAUGCUCUACAAGGAUUAAGGGAUCACUAUGUCAAAAUCCACAAGUAAACUAACAACUUAAACAGGUUGCCAAUUCCAUACCAAACCAAGUUUUAUGCAUCAGUAUUACCAUGCGGAAUCACACACAGAGACCACCAUGACAAUGCAAAGGCCUAACUUAGGUUCGAGUUUGUGUACAUAUAAAAGCAGGAAACAGGGAUGGCUAGUACAAAAUGCUAAUUCGACUUAACCCAUUUGUUGGACACCUUGCUCUGGCCGGCGCCGCCGUACGCCCUCACUGACGCCUCCAGCCUCGCCCCGUUCAGCUCUCUGACUGCACAAAAAAAUGAUACACUUCAUAACUUGCAAUUUUGAGAAUGUACUGAAUAAAUAUGCUGCCCACCCGAUUGAGCGAGCCACAUGAAUUGUUGCUUGAGUUGACUUGAGAAAGCGAUAGUACGCUGAAGGAAUAAUCUAUAGUCCUGGUCAAUCAACGAUGACCCAUGAGGCCAAUACAGUAGAGCAUAGGCACAAAUCGUAUGCUUGUUGCUCACGGACAUACUGCUAGUACCGACAUUCACACAACACAAGACAACUACCAAGCAUCCAACAUCAGUGGCUUAUCUCCUCUAAAAGUGCAACCUUAUUUUGCAUCUACACUAGCCCCUAAUCGUGCAACAAUUUACAGUAAUUUGAGG